UUGUUAGAAUGAGUUACAGAGCAGGUAAA
Molecule: non-coding RNA, 29 nt
Filed under: Rattus norvegicus (Norway rat)
Lineage: Eukaryota; Metazoa; Chordata; Mammalia; Rodentia; Muridae
Source: RNAcentral